AAAGGAAUUGACGGGCACCCGCACAAGCGGUGGAGCAUGCUGUUUAAUUCGACGAUACGCGAAGAACCUUACCUAGACUUGACAUCCCUGGCAAAGCUAUAGAAAUAUAGUGGAGGUUACCCAGGUGACAGGUGGUGCAUGGUUGUCGUCAGCUCGUGUCGUGAGAUGUUCGGUUAAGUCCGCUAACGAGCGCAACCCUUAUCCUUAGUUGCUAACAUUAAGUUGAGAACCCUAAGGAGACUGCCGGUGACAAACCGGAGGAAGGUGGGGAUGACGUCAAAUCAUCAUGCCCCUUACGUCUAGGGCUACAGGCGUGCUAUAAUGGCCGAUACAAUAAGAAGCAAUACUGUGAAGUGGAGCAAAUCUGUAAAGUCGGUCUCAGUUCGGAUUGAAGUCUGCAACUCGACUUCAUGAAGCUAGAAUCGCUAGUAAUCCCAAAUCAGAAUGUUGGGGUGAAUACGUUCCCGGGUGUUGUACACACCGCCCGU
Molecule: ribosomal RNA, 488 nt
Filed under: uncultured bacterium
Lineage: Bacteria
Description: bacterial SSU rRNA
Rfam family: Bacterial small subunit ribosomal RNA
Source: RNAcentral